RNAcentral lists this ribosomal RNA (704 nucleotides) under uncultured archaeon. Its description in RNAcentral is "bacterial SSU rRNA". It matches the Rfam family "Archaeal small subunit ribosomal RNA", at positions 325 to 1031 of the family's 1478-position model. The record is from RNAcentral.
ACGGGGUGCAGCAGGCGCGAAAACUCCGCAAUGCGCGAAAGCGUGACGGGGUUAACCCGAGUGCUAUCCGCUGAGGGUGGCUUUUCUUUAGUGUAAUGAGUUGAAGGAAUAAAGGGAGGGCAAGACUGGUGUCAGCCGCCGCGGUAAUACCAGCUCCCUGAGUGGUGGGGAUAAUUAUUGGGCUUAAAGCGUCCGCAGCCGGUCUGAUCAGUCUUCUGUUAAAUCCAGUGACCUAAUCAUUGGACUGCGGGAGAUACUGUUAGGCUAGGGGGCGGGAGAGGCCGAUGGUAUUCUCAGGGUAGGGGUGAAAUCCUAAAAUCCUGAGAGGACCACCAGUGGCGAAGGCGGUCGGCUAGAACGCGCUCGACGGUCAUGGACGAAGGCUGGGGUAGCGAACUGGAUUAGAUACCCGGGUAGUCCCAGCAGUAAACGAUGCGGGCUAGGUGUUGGAGCGGAUACAAACCGCUUCAGUGCCGCAGGGAAACUGUUAAGCCCGCCGCCUGGGAAGUACGGUCGCAAGGCUGAAACUUAAAGGAAUUGGCGGGGGAGCACCACAAGGCGUGAAGCUUGCGGUUUAAUUGGAGUCAACGCCGGAAAUCUUACCGGAGGAGACAGCAGAAUGAAGGCCAGAUUGAAGGUCUUGCUAGACAAGCUGAGAGGAGGUGCAUGGCCGUCGCCAGUUCGUGCCGUGAGGUGUCCUGUUA